GAGAUGCGGUCGUCACGGUCUCCAUGGCAUCGACAAAAAUCUGAGCAACCGUCUCCCAGGAAACAGCAAUACGACCAACACAUUCCCCGUUUUUGGGACUGGCACAUCAUGCUGUCGCUGUGAACGUAUUUUAUUUAGACAAAGUUGAUUCGCCUAUUUUAAGAACACUGAGGUGAUAUUAGCCAUCAAGUUUAGCUCGAGUUUAGCGCGAUAUUGUUUGUUACAACAUGCUAGCAGUAACUGACUUUGCCAGGGAGCCUUUGCUCGAGCACGUGAAUUAUUUCACAAAUGGGGGGGGUGUCAUAAUUCCAGAAUCUACAAGACCUCUCUGCCCUCUUAUCCACGCAGGACGAGGAUGAUGAAGAUGAUUGUAAGGUGAAAAUCCAACUGCCAGACACCAAAGCAACAGAUAUAGUCCUGGAUGGAUGUGAAGGAGAAAGUCCUUGUUCUGCAAACACCAUACUUCUAAGUUGCUUGCCUGUCAUCUUUCUGCAAAGAGUUCCAGGAUAUCAAUCCACAGCCAGAAAACUCUUUGCUACAAUUUGCUGACCUCCUCUCAUGCUCCUUUUUUCUUCAUAAGGAGAGAAGUGUUUUAUCUCUAUCUACAACAUCUGUCAUCUCAGCCAUGACUGAAAAUCCCCUCUUUUCCUCUCCCUUUGUCCAGAUGAGCAUCGGUGGUCCGAGGUGCAGGCUUCAAACCUGUAGCUGCUUAUCGGCAGAGUGGUUCAAUUCCACCUUUCGGGCGUAAAUUCUAAGCGCUCAAAUGUAUAGACUUUGAUCCCCUUAUAAUAUUCAUAGGAAUUCGCUAAUAGAUGUUCUAGGCUAAAACAACAAAAUCAUUUGUAAUAGUGCUCAUGGAAAUAAAUAGCUACUCUUGUUGAAACUACA
This is a long non-coding RNA of Oncorhynchus tshawytscha (Chinook salmon), 888 nucleotides long. RefSeq lists it as uncharacterized. The transcript is spliced from 2 exons. Lineage: Eukaryota; Metazoa; Chordata; Actinopteri; Salmoniformes; Salmonidae. The record is from RefSeq and is a predicted model, not a curated record.